This 438-nucleotide ribosomal RNA is filed under the name Triticum aestivum (bread wheat). RNAcentral's name for it is "partial small subunit ribosomal RNA". Lineage: Eukaryota; Viridiplantae; Streptophyta; Magnoliopsida; Poales; Poaceae. The record is from RNAcentral.
AUGCACAACCCUCACACUAUGGCUAAAGCACAGCAUGAAGUACGCGAUGUGUUGGGUGAAAGCCGAUCUGUCAUUACUAAUAGUGAGCUUGGUGAACUCCACUAUAUGCGGAUGAUCAUCAAGGAGGCUCUUAGGUUGCAUCCACCUGGUCCUCUGAUUCCCUGUAUGGCCAGAGAAGACUGUACAGUUAAGGGUUAUGAUAUCCCUAAAGGCACUAAUGUAUAUAUUAAUAUUUUCGCAAUUUCUCGGGAUCCUAGAUAUUGGAUCAAUCCUGAAGAGUUCAUGCCAGAGAGAUUUGAGAACAACAAUGUGAACUACAAAGGGGCUUACUUUCAGUUCAUUCCCUUCAGGGCUGGGAGACGGCAAUGCCCGGGGAUUCAGUUUAGCUCAUCAAUCACUGAGAUGGCAUUAGCAAACCUUUUUUAUCACUUCCAUUAG